AUACGUAGGGUGCGAGCGUUGUCCGGAAUUACUGGGCGUAAAGAGCUCGUAGGUGGUUUGUCGCGUCGUCUGUGAAAUUCCGGGGCUUAACUCCGGGCGUGCAGGCGAUACGGGCAUAACUUGAGUACUGUAGGGGAGACUGGAAUUCCUGGUGUAGCGGUGAAAUGCGCAGAUAUCAGGAGGAACACCGGUGGCGAAGGCGGUUCUCUGGGCAGUAACUGACGCUGAGGAGCGAAAGCAGGGGUAGCGAACAGGAUUAGAUACCCUGGUAGUCCAUGCCGUAAACGGUGGGCGCUAGGUGUAGGGGUCUUCCACGACUUCUGUGCCGUAGCUAACGCAUUAAGCGCCCCGCCUGGGGGGUACGGCCGCAAGGCUAGAACUCAAAGGAAUUGGCGGGG
RNAcentral lists this ribosomal RNA (398 nucleotides) under uncultured bacterium. RNAcentral's name for it is "partial 16S ribosomal RNA". It matches the Rfam family "Bacterial small subunit ribosomal RNA", at positions 523 to 918 of the family's 1533-position model. The record is from RNAcentral.